ACUGGCUUGUGGCGGCCAAGCGUUCACAGCUACGUCGCUUUCUGAUCCUUCGAUGUCGGCUCUUCCCAUCAUCGUGAAGCAGAAUCCACGAAGCGUUGGAUUAUUCACCCACUAAUAGGGAACCAGACAGGUUAGUUCUACUCAAGAU
This 148-nucleotide non-coding RNA is filed under the name Oryzias latipes (Japanese medaka). RNAcentral describes it as "Eukaryotic large subunit ribosomal RNA". It matches the Rfam family "Eukaryotic large subunit ribosomal RNA", at positions 2829 to 2994 of the family's 3401-position model. Lineage: Eukaryota; Metazoa; Chordata; Actinopteri; Beloniformes; Adrianichthyidae. The record is from Rfam by way of RNAcentral.